UACAGAGGUCCCAAGCGUUGUUCGGAUUCACUGGGCGUAAAGGGUGCGUAGGCGGUCGGGUAAGUCUGACGUGAAAUCUUCAAGCUCAACUUGGAAACUGCGUCGGAUACUAUUCGGCUAGAGGAAUGGAGGGGAGACUGGAAUACUUGGUGUAGCAGUGAAAUGCGUAGAUAUCAAGUGGAACACCAGUGGCGAAGGCGAGUCUCUGGACAUUUCCUGACGCUGAGGCACGAAAGCCAGGGGAGCGAACAGG
RNAcentral lists this ribosomal RNA (253 nucleotides) under uncultured bacterium. Its description in RNAcentral is "partial 16S ribosomal RNA". It matches the Rfam family "Bacterial small subunit ribosomal RNA", at positions 524 to 776 of the family's 1533-position model. The record is from RNAcentral.